This 638-nucleotide ribosomal RNA is filed under the name uncultured Oscillospiraceae bacterium. RNAcentral describes it as "bacterial SSU rRNA". It matches the Rfam family "Bacterial small subunit ribosomal RNA", at positions 897 to 1533 of the family's 1533-position model. Lineage: Bacteria; Bacillati; Bacillota; Clostridia; Eubacteriales; Oscillospiraceae. The record is from RNAcentral.
AAACUCAAAGGAAUUUGACGGGGGCCCGCACAAGCAGUGGAGUAUGUGGUUUAAUUCGAAGCAACGCGAAGAACCUUACCAAGGCUUGACAUAAUAGUGAAUACGGUAGAGAUAUCGUAGUCCUUCGGGACACUAUUACGAGGUGGUGCAUGGUUGUCGUCAGCUCGUGUCGUGAGAUGUUGGGUUAAGUCCCGCAACGAGCGCAACCCCUGUUGCUAGUUGAUAACAUUCAGUUGAUCACUCUAGCGAGACUGCCGGUGAUAAAUCGGAGGAAGGUGGGGACGACGUCAAAUCAUCAUGCCCCUUAUGUCUUGGGCUACACACGUACUACAAUGGCUAUAACAGAGGGAAGCUAAGCUGCAAAGUGGAGCAAAUCCCCAAAAAUAGUCCCAGUUCAGAUUGUGGGCUGCAACCCGCCCACAUGAAGUCGGAAUUGCUAGUAAUGGCAGGUCAGCAUACUGCCGUGAAUACGUUCCCGGGCCUUGUACACACCGCCCGUCACACCAUGAGAGUCUGCAACACCCGAAGUCGAUAGUCUAACCGUAAGGAGGACGUCGCCGAAGGUGGGGCCGAUGAUUGGGGUGAAGUCGUAACAAGGUAGCCGUAUCGGAAGGUGCGGCUGGAUCACCUCCUUUCUG